AAAUUUCGGAAGAUUUUGAAGUUUUGCUUUAGAGAAGUGCCCUUGCUGUGGGUCCGCCCCCCUUUGCCUUAUGAUCGUUCCGGCAUCCCUGGAUACAUGUAGUCUACUGUAGCUAGCGCGAAACUUUUCAACAGGUCGUGUUAGUUGUGCACGUCCCAAAUAAGACAGCUGGUAUAUAAUAGUGUAAUAGCUAUGCAUACACUGCGUGUACGUAGAAUACGAUCACAAAUAAGUCGAACUUUCUAUCGGUUGCUAUAUUUAGCCUAAAUCGACAUUGCUUGUGAGAAAUCGCGAACGGAAUCAAAUAUGUUGUAUAUAAUUUUUCCAUUUUGUAAUUAUACCUAAUUCUUGUAAACCAAUUUUAG
This is a non-coding RNA of Paramuricea clavata, 365 nucleotides long. The record is from the annotation of a GenBank genome assembly. NCBI's taxonomy places the organism in Eukaryota, Metazoa, Cnidaria, Anthozoa, Malacalcyonacea, Plexauridae.